RNAcentral lists this ribosomal RNA (497 nucleotides) under uncultured bacterium. RNAcentral describes it as "partial 16S ribosomal RNA". It matches the Rfam family "Bacterial small subunit ribosomal RNA", at positions 28 to 507 of the family's 1533-position model. The record is from RNAcentral.
GAUGAACGCUGGCGGCGUGCCUAAUACAUGCAAGUCGAGCGGACGGGCGAGGAGCUUGCUUCUCUGAUGUUUGCGGCGGACGGGUGAGUAACGCGUGUAUACCCUACCUAUAAUACUGGUAUAACUUCGGGAAACCGGAGCUAAUAGCGGAUAAUAUUUUGAACCGCAUUGUUCGAAAGUGAAAUACGGUCUUGCUGGCUCUUAUAGAUGGAUCCGCGCUUCAUUAGCUAGUUGGUAAGGUAACCGCUUACCAAGGCAACGAGGCAUAGACGACGUGAGAGGGUGAUAGGCGACCCUAGAACGGAGACACGGACCAGACUACUACGGGAGGCAGCAGUCGCGAAUCUUCGGCAAUGGGCGAAAGCAUGACGGAAUAACGCCGAGCCAGUGAUGAAGGCCUCCGGAUCGUAAAACUCUGCUAUUAGGGAAGAACAUCUGUGUAAGUAAACGUGCACAUAUUGACGGUAACUAAUAAGAAAGCAACGGCUAACUACGUG